This 465-nucleotide ribosomal RNA is filed under the name Vreelandella stevensii. RNAcentral describes it as "partial 16S ribosomal RNA". It matches the Rfam family "Bacterial small subunit ribosomal RNA", at positions 338 to 795 of the family's 1533-position model. The record is from RNAcentral. Lineage: Bacteria; Pseudomonadati; Pseudomonadota; Gammaproteobacteria; Oceanospirillales; Halomonadaceae.
CCUACGGGCGGCAGCAGUGGGGAAUAUUGGACAAUGGGGGCAACCCUGAUCCAGCCAUGCCGCGUGUGUGAAGAAGGCCCUCGGGUUGUAAAGCACUUUCAGUGAGGAAGAACGCCUGGUGGUUAAUACCCAUCAGGAAAGACAUCACUCACAGAAGAAGCACCGGCUAACUCCGUGCCAGCAGCCGCGGUAAUACGGAGGGUGCGAGCGUUAAUCGGAAUUACUGGGCGUAAAGCGCGCGUAGGUGGCUUGAUAAGCCGGUUGUGAAAGCCCCGGGCUCAACCUGGGAACGGCAUCCGGAACUGUCGAGCUAGAGUGCAGGAGAGGAAGGUAGAAUUCCCGGUGUAGCGGUGAAAUGCGUAGAGAUCGGGAGGAAUACCAGUGGCGAAGGCGGCCUUCUGGACUGACACUGACACUGAGGUGCGAAAGCGUGGGUAGCAAACAGGAUUAGAUACCCGGGUAGUC